RNAcentral lists this long non-coding RNA (477 nucleotides) under Rattus norvegicus (Norway rat). RNAcentral's name for it is "long non-coding RNA NONRATT026076". The record is from RNAcentral. Lineage: Eukaryota; Metazoa; Chordata; Mammalia; Rodentia; Muridae.
GGCCUUGAAGACACUGGGAGGGGGCAGGAACCUGGGAUCCCAUUUACUUUUGUCCUUCCAGGAGCAGCUUUGCUGAGCCUAUGUCUACAACAAUUUCUGGGGGGUGUGGUCACUACUGCCACAUUCACUGUGAUGAUGCACUGUAGCCAGCUGGCACCCAGAGCCCUGCAGGCCACACAUUAUAGCUUCCUGGCCACGCUAGAACUGCUGGGCAAGCUGCUCCCAGGCACCCUGGCUGGAGUGCUGGCUGAUGGCCUGGGCCCCCGUCUCUGCUUCGCUGCCUUCCUUGUACUCUCAGCCCUGCCCGUUCUGGAUCUCCGCCUGGCACCCAGUAACCUGACCUGAGCUGGACCUCAGGGUUGUGUGUAAAGCCAGUGAAGCUCUGGAUGGCCUGGACGGCCAGGACACAGAAACGCAGCUAUCCGCAAACCGAGGGCUGUGUUCCCAGAAAGCACAUAAAGUUACUGAAGGCUCUUU